CACCUUCAGUUCCUUCAUUGCAGCAACCAGCUUCUGCUUAGAUUUCUUUUGCUUUACUUCCAAAUUAAAAAUCCAAUCAAAACACCCACACAAAAAAAAGUAGUGCCUUUGAAGGGGAUAGCCUUCAUAUUUCCUGGUUUUCGUUUGCCCCUUGAUUUCAUUGUGUCAUUUUUUUAAUUUUUUCCAAUUCGUUUCGCUUUUCCUUUGCCAUUGUUCCCAAAAGAACCUUAUUCAUUAUAUAUUAAAAAAAGGAAAAAAAGAAGCAGCAGAAUUCUGGUUUUCGUUUCACACCCUUGAUUUCGUUCUGUUAUUAUCACCUCUGUUUUGCUUUUACUUUCAAAGAGAGAAAAAAAAAAAAAAAGUAGUAGUAGCAGUUCAGCUUUGUCUCAUCAUUAGGCUGAUUGUGCUGCGGUGUUCUAUAAGCAUUUUGAAGGGAACUGAUAUCAUUCGUAACCAAAAGAGUGAAAGUUUCUUCAUUGCAGCAACUGUUUUUUUCUGAUUAAGAGUCACCUGCGCGCCUUCGGUUUCUUCAUUGCAGCAACCAGCUUCUGCUUAGAUUUCUUUUGCUUUACUUCCAAAUUAAAAAUCCAAUCAAAAAACCAAAAAAAAAAGAGAGUACUGCCUUCAGAUUUCCUGGGUUUCCUUUGUCCCUUGAUUUCAUUGUGUCAUUGUGUCAUUGUGGUAGUUCAGCUUUGUCUCAUUUACCAGACCAAUUGUGCUCCGGCGUUCAGUAAAGCAUAUUUGAAGGGAACUGACCUUAUUCGUAACUAAAAGAGAGAAAGGUAUAAGAUACAAGAGUCUCAUUCCAAAGGCAAAACAAAAAAAAAAAAACCAUGGAGAUCCUCAGCGGAAUUAUUUCUAAAGUAAUCGAGUACAUAGUUGAACCAGUUGGGCGACAAGUGGGUUAUCUGAUUAACUACAAAAGCAACCUUGAAAGUCUGAGGAGUCAAUUGAAUAACUUAGAUGCUGCCAAAGACCGGAUGAAGCAUAGGGUUGAUAAAGUUGAAAGAAAUGGUAAAGGAGUAGAAACUGAUGUCCAGAACUGGAGAAAAGAAGCAGAUGGGAUCACUCAAGAGGCAGAAAAGAUUUUGGGAAAUGAAGGCCAAGCAAAGACAAAGUGUUUCCGUGGAGUAUGUCCUAAUCUGGUUUCGUAUCAUCAGUUUAGCAGGAAAUCAGCAAAAUUGGCAAAAAAGAUUGAGCUA
This is a non-coding RNA of Prunus mume (Japanese apricot), 1202 nucleotides long. NCBI's taxonomy places the organism in Eukaryota, Viridiplantae, Streptophyta, Magnoliopsida, Rosales, Rosaceae. The record is from RefSeq and is a predicted model, not a curated record.